CCGAGUUUACAACGCCCAAACCCACUGUGAACAUACUCACUUGUUGCCUUCGGCGGGAAGCAGGCGCCCCCGCCCUCCGGUAGAGACGGACGGCCCGGCCAAGGAGACGCCCUAACAAACUCUGUUUUCUAUAUGUAACUUCUGAGUGAAAACGCAUAAAUAAAU
This 165-nucleotide unclassified non-coding RNA is filed under the name soil metagenome. Its description in RNAcentral is "partial internal transcribed spacer 1". The record is from RNAcentral.